Molecule: unclassified non-coding RNA, 337 nt
Filed under: Epibacterium ulvae
Lineage: Bacteria; Pseudomonadati; Pseudomonadota; Alphaproteobacteria; Rhodobacterales; Roseobacteraceae
Description: Long range pseudoknot
Source: RNAcentral
ACCCACGACUAUGGCGUCAAAAUGCGCAAUGUGGUUAAGUUUCUGGAAAAUGGCGACAAGGUGAAAGUGACCUUGCGCUUCCGUGGUCGUGAAAUGGCACACCAAAAUCUGGGCCGCGAGCUGCUUGAACGCGUCGCAGAAGACAUCAAAGAAUUGGGCAAAAUCGAAAACAUGCCCAAGAUGGAAGGCCGCCAGAUGGUCAUGAUGAUCGGUCCCUUGCCGACAAAAUAAAAACCACAAUCUGUGAUUUUUUCAAAAACCUCUCCUUUGUGGGAGGUUUUUGCGUAUUUGCUCUCUUCCGUUACCAAGCCGGUAACCAAUUUUCUUUAUAUGAGAA